CAGGAUCCCUGGACACAGCCAGAGCUGACAGAGGCCUCUCAGUAAUGGCAUCUUGUCUACUCACGAGGAAAGGCUGGAGGUGACUGCGUAUCAAGUGCAGAAUCCUCGCAAAACCAAGCUCGGACUCCUGCUUGCCCAGAGCUCUCUGCAGGGAGCUCUCCUGGGAGCUGCUCCUCCCAGCAGGUUGGAGAACCAGGGAAUCAGAAGGUGUCAUUCAGUCCAAAGGCUGAUCAGGUUUUCAAGGCCCGGAGAGUAGAAGAUGGAGGUCUUAGAUCAGGAAGACAGCAAGAAGUCCCCCGCUCUUCUGCCUCGGUGU
Molecule: long non-coding RNA, 316 nt
Organism: Cavia porcellus (domestic guinea pig)
Lineage: Eukaryota; Metazoa; Chordata; Mammalia; Rodentia; Caviidae
Exons: 3
Source: RefSeq, a predicted model, not a curated record